UUUUUUUUUUUUUUUUUUUUUUUUUUUUUUUUGAGGGUCAAACAGUGUGUUUGCUGAGUGUGGUUAGAAUGAGGAGGUGGGGAGCUGCUCAGGACUGGAAGGUUUGCUUUCUAGGAGUAUGCGGCAUCCUUCCUGUGCGACGUGACUAACUGUUGGGCUGGAACGUUCCAGCUUUUGUGUGUCUUAAGCAAUGUAGCUUGUGUAGUGUGUGUUGUGUGGCCCGGGCAGAGUUUGCUGUGGUGCAGUGGGCGAAGAAUCUCAGUUAGAGCUGGUGCUUUGUGCGGUCGUGGACAGGAAAGGGAAAUCCUCGUGUCGCGGAGCAGUGAGGGAAGAGUAAAAUUCCAGUUUGCCUUUUGUUGAGGGAAUCUGGAAACAGCACAGAUCCCACGGCCUGCUGCAGCUGAGCAAACCAAGAUACCAGGGUAACGGUGAGAAGCUCCUAUGACAGUGUUCCCACAUCGCCCAACUGAGGAGUGCAGAAAAAUAUUGCUGCCAGCAGCUGAUACCAAAAACAAGGUCUACGUGACUACUAAUCACAAGGGGACUGUUUUCUUGCAGGUGGGGUUGUUUUCUUCUGGUUGUUUUUCUGAGUGCUUUGGCCAAUAACCUUGCGUGAAACACUGUCCACCCCUGUUGAGUUCUCUAUAAAAGUUAGGCUAUUCGGGCAAUAAAAUGGAGCAUGAUCUGA
Non-coding RNA from Anas platyrhynchos (mallard), 688 nucleotides. NCBI's taxonomy places the organism in Eukaryota, Metazoa, Chordata, Aves, Anseriformes, Anatidae. The record is from RefSeq and is a predicted model, not a curated record.